This 482-nucleotide ribosomal RNA is filed under the name uncultured bacterium. RNAcentral describes it as "partial 16S ribosomal RNA". It matches the Rfam family "Bacterial small subunit ribosomal RNA", at positions 28 to 507 of the family's 1533-position model. The record is from RNAcentral.
GACGAACGCUGGCGGCGUGCUUAACACAUGCAAGUCGAACGCUGAAGCUCAGCUUGCUGGGUGGAUGCGUGGCGAACGGGUGAGUAACACGUGAGUAACCUGCCCUCUUCUUUGGGAUAACGCCCGUCAACGGGUGCUAAUACUGGAUAUUCACUGAUUCUCGCAUGGGGGUUGGUGGAAAGGUUUUUUCUGGUGGGGGAUGGGCUCGCGGCCUAUCAGCUUGUUGGUGGGGUGAUGGCCUACCAAGGCUUUGACGGGUAGCCGGCCUGAGAGGGUGACCGGGCACAUGGGGACUGGGCUACGGCCCAGAGGGCGGCGGGAGGCAGGAAUGGGGAAUAAUGCACGAUGGGCGAACGCCGGAUGCCGGCACGAGGCGUGAGGGACGUAGGCUUGCGGGUUGUAGUCCUCUUGCGCUCAUGGUUAAGUCGCAGCUUUGGGUUGUGGUGAGGGUAGUGGGUAAGGAAGCGCCGGCUAACUACGUG